GCCCAGGAGGCGGUGGCUAUUGUUCCCCGCAGGGGCCCGGGGCGCCCUGAAACGGGGUCCACGUCAGCCCGCUCCCGAGCGUGUCCUCAGAUCUGGGGACCCUUCACCUGCCUCUACUACUGCAAAUGAUUGGAUAUUCGUCUGCCUUGGCUCUUCCCUAAUGUGUGGAACUAAUUUUGUUCACUCUGUUUCAUGCUGGACCUGGCCUGAAAAUGGGCCCUUAUAUUGUCUUUGCACUUUCCAACUUGCCAAGGCCUUCUGCAAGAGAGACCUAAGAACCAGCUCUCAAAGAUG
This 294-nucleotide long non-coding RNA is filed under the name Gorilla gorilla gorilla (western lowland gorilla). RNAcentral describes it as "lncRNA (ENSGGOG00000044578.1)". Lineage: Eukaryota; Metazoa; Chordata; Mammalia; Primates; Hominidae. The record is from RNAcentral.